Molecule: long non-coding RNA, 811 nt
Organism: Amphibalanus amphitrite
Lineage: Eukaryota; Metazoa; Arthropoda; Thecostraca; Balanomorpha; Balanidae
Exons: 3
Source: RefSeq, a predicted model, not a curated record
AUGGAGCCCAGUUAGGUAUUUAGUGAUAACUUAUCUCUCAGUGUAGGUUAUAUUGGAAGACCCAUCAAUUAUCUUUCAUUUGUGCAUAAAAACAUUAAAUUCUUCGUAAAAUAUCACUGGAGAUCUCCCUAAAGCAUUUUUCGAGAAGCAUGGCAAAGUCACCCCCGUUUACGGUACCAACCUGUUUGCAAUCCUACAGUUGGCGAAGGAUCAGCCCUUCAUGACGGUGCGGGAUGUGGGAGCGGCCACGGGCGCUCCUCAUCUGCACCCGACCUGCAUCUCCAACCGUCUGAAAGAGGGGGGACUGCGGACCUACAGGGCUGCCCCAGCUUUGCACCUCAGUGAAGUCAACAAAGCAAACCGCGUGCUUUUCGCCCAAGAACUGCUCCCGAAGCCCGUGGAGUUCUGGUCAAGAGUUAUUUUCUCGGACGAGAAAAUCUUCCGGACUGACCAAACGGGAAAGCUGCUUGUCCGAAGGCCGAAGGGACUGCGCGACUCGGAGUCCUUCCUACGGACAAGAGACGCUAGUGGACGGCAGUCUGUUCACGCGUGGGGGUGGGUGGAUGGGUUUGGGCCCGGAGAACUCCACCGUGUCAUCGGGCGCCACACAGCUGACACAUAUGUGGAGAUUCUCGAUGAGGUCCUGCUCCCGACGUUGGAGCAAAUGCGAGGGGCGGCUCACCAGCACGUGCUUGUGCAAGACCAUGCUCCUCAACACACGGCAGCCGUCACCAAAAACUGGUUUGAGGAGCACCAAGCUCAAGUAAAUGAUUAUAUUGCUAUCUGCUGAAAAGUUGUGGAGUAAACAAAU